UUAUAUAAGCCAACUCCUGAGGUUAUUUUAGUAAAUUAACUUUUCGUGUCCACUUACAAAAUGACGAAAAUAGCCUCCUGUCUUUUUUUUGUUAACCGGUAUUGACUACUCUGUACUUGCUGAGUUGCUGAGCAUCUCUCCCCCUCUCACUUUUCUCUCUCCUCUCACCUUCGUUUCUAUUCUAGGGUUCUCUCUCUGCUCUCACCCUAAUUGAGCAGCUGUGCAACAGCCCCUUUCCUUCCUCCUUCCUCCUUCCUCCGUCCUCUUAACCGUGGAUGCGGCUUCUCCUUGCCUAGGGUUGCGGCAGUUGAGGCUUCUCCUUUCCUCCGCCACCAUCGUCGGCUCGCUCUCGCUCUUUGUCGAUGCUUUCUUUAGCGUUUGAGAAGGGACGAACUGACGAAGUGUAUUGGAAAGAUCUCUAGGAUCUGUUGUGUUUUAUUGAAAGAAAUUGAAGAUAAUAUCUUGAGUUUGUAUGUUUUUCUUCAGUCUCCAGUCUACCUCAUCCUUCCUCCUCUCAUUUCAAUCUCAUAAAGAAAGGCUUCACGAUCCUUCUCCUCUGCUCUCAACUUCAAGGUGGACUUCAUUUGGUACUAUGAGGAUGUUCUAACCCACAGGCCCGUCCAAUGGCUCUUUUAUACGGUUUGGUAGAGAUCCAAGACAGGUGAUGCGUCAAGCCUACAAAUUGUUCAGACACAGAGGGAGAUAGAUCUUACUUUGGAGCUUAAUGUGUACUACAACGAAGCGAGUUGCGGUCGGUUCGUUGCUUGGGCGUACUCAUGGACCUGAUAACUUACUGUUGACUAGAGUUUCUAACCUUAUGGUUGAAGACAAAACCCUUGGCUCUCCGAGUAAACCUUUGAAAACUAUUGUUUCAGCUUUAUUUUCUCAAAAAUUAUGUUUUUAUCUGAAUAAUUUGUGGGUUGAUUAAGUUGAUGAUGAUAAUUUACUUUAUCUUAGCGGAUUUCAGUGAUAUCAAUGAUCUGAUUGUUACACACUGAAGUUCUUAUAUCUCUAUUUCAUAGUUAUUCCAACUA
Molecule: long non-coding RNA, 1034 nt
Organism: Spinacia oleracea (spinach)
Lineage: Eukaryota; Viridiplantae; Streptophyta; Magnoliopsida; Caryophyllales; Amaranthaceae
Exons: 5
Source: RefSeq, a predicted model, not a curated record